RNAcentral lists this ribosomal RNA (161 nucleotides) under uncultured Pseudomonas sp. Its description in RNAcentral is "partial 16S ribosomal RNA". It matches the Rfam family "Bacterial small subunit ribosomal RNA", at positions 359 to 527 of the family's 1533-position model. The record is from RNAcentral. Lineage: Bacteria; Pseudomonadati; Pseudomonadota; Gammaproteobacteria; Pseudomonadales; Pseudomonadaceae.
CAUGGCCUAGAGUGGCCCGCCAUGCCGCGUGUGUGAAGAAGGUCUUCGGAUUGUAAAGCACUUUAAGUUGGGAGGAAGGGCCAUUACCUAAUACGUGAUGGUUUUGACGUUACCGACAGAAUAAGCACCGGCUAACUCUGUGCCAGCAGCCGCGGUAAUCA